Molecule: ribosomal RNA, 412 nt
Filed under: uncultured Candidatus Saccharibacteria bacterium
Lineage: Bacteria; Candidatus Saccharimonadota
Description: bacterial SSU rRNA
Rfam family: Bacterial small subunit ribosomal RNA
Source: RNAcentral
AACGCGAAGAACCUUACCCAGGCUUGACAUCCUUGGAAUUUCUCCGAAAGGAGAGAGUGCCUUUGGAACCAAGUGACAGGUGAUGCAUGGCCGUCGUCAGCUCGUGUCGUGAGAUGUUUGGUUAAGUCCAUCAACGAGCGCAACCCUUUUAGUUAGUUGUAUUUCUCUAGCUAGACUGCCCUGGUAACAGGGAGGAAGGAGGGGAUGAUGUCAGGUCAGUAUUUCCCUUACGUCUGGGGCUACAAACACGCUACAAUGGCCAGUACAAAGGGCAGCCAAGUCGCAAGACGGAGCAAAUCCCAUCAAAGCUGGUCUCAGUUCGGAUAGCAGGCUGAAACCCGCCUGCUUGAAGCUGGAAUCGCUAGUAACGGUAGGUCAGCACACUACCGUGAAUACGUUCCCGGGCCUUGUA